UGGGGAAUAUUGGACAAUGGGCGAAAGCCUGAUCCAGCCAUGCCGCGUGUGUGAAGAAGGUCUUCGGAUUGUAAAGCACUUUAAGUUGGGAGGAAGGGCAGUAAGCGAAUACCUUGCUGUUUUGACGUUACCGACAGAAUAAGCACCGGCUAACUCUGUGCCAGCAGCCGCGGUAAUACAGAGGGUGCAAGCGUUAAUCGGAAUUACUGGGCGUAAAGCGCGCGUAGGUGGUUCGUUAAGUUGAAUGUGAAAGCCCCGGGCUCAACCUGGGAACUGCAUCCAAAACUGGCGAGCUAGAGUAGGGCAGAGGGUGGUGGAAUUUCCUGUGUAGCGGUGAAAUGCGUAGAUAUAGGAAGGAAAACCAGUGGCGAAGGCGACCACCUGGGCUCAUACUGACACUGAGGUGAGAAAGCGUGGGGAGCAAACAGG
This 429-nucleotide ribosomal RNA is filed under the name Pseudomonadota bacterium. Its description in RNAcentral is "Proteobacteria bacterium partial 16S ribosomal RNA". It matches the Rfam family "Bacterial small subunit ribosomal RNA", at positions 355 to 776 of the family's 1533-position model. The record is from RNAcentral. Lineage: Bacteria; Pseudomonadati; Pseudomonadota.